GAUUCCGUAGCUCAGCUGGUAGAGCAUCUGACUUUUAAUCAGAGGGUCUUGGGUUCGAGUCCCAACGGAAUCAC
RNAcentral lists this transfer RNA (74 nucleotides) under Chlorobi bacterium OLB7. RNAcentral describes it as "tRNA-Lys". It matches the Rfam family "tRNA". From Rfam's summary of the family: Transfer RNA (tRNA) molecules are approximately 80 nucleotides in length. The record is from RNAcentral. Lineage: Bacteria; Pseudomonadati; Chlorobiota.